RNAcentral lists this unclassified non-coding RNA (839 nucleotides) under Hevea brasiliensis (rubber tree). Lineage: Eukaryota; Viridiplantae; Streptophyta; Magnoliopsida; Malpighiales; Euphorbiaceae. The record is from RNAcentral.
CCAAUACAGAUUCAAAUUUCUCCAAUGCUUCGUCAUAUUUGGCGUUUCUAUAUCAAUUAACCAAGAAGAAGAAAAAAAACAGCCAAAUAAAAUAACACAGUAGGGCGUCUAGAAGAAGAUGAUAGAUGACCCCAUAGGAAGCAAUAACCGUGUUAUAGAAGUCUUUUUCAAUUAGGAGAUUGACUCCUAUAGGAUAGGAUUCCUAAUCCAUGUAGAAGUAGAGUUUUAAACCAUAUAGAAUAGGAGAUAAUUGUAUACAUACAUAUAUAUGUGUGUGUUUGUGUUAACACCUUUGAACAUAUGAAAAAUACAUGGUAUCAGAGCUGUCACCUUUGAAUUAUCAUCUCAAUGUUUUGUUACCUCUUUAGAUUCUAUAAAAAUCCCUAAAACAGUCAUUGAGGCAUUAUCUCAUCCUAAUUGGUGCGCCGCUAUGAAAGAGGAAAUGGAGGCCUUAGAUACAAAUGAUACAUGAGAACUGGCGCUUUUGCCCACUAGUAAGAAGGCUAUUGGAUGCAAAUAGGAUUUUUCAGUAAAGACGAAUCCUGAUGGUUCUAUAGCCACAUUGAAAACACACCUUAUAGCCAAAGGAUAUGCUCAAACAUAUGGGGUGGAUUACUCUGAUACUUUUUCUCCUGUAGCUAAACUAGCUUCAGUUCGAUUGUUCAUCUCCCUAGCAGCUACACAUGAUUGGCCUUUGCACCAAUUAGAUAUAAAGAAUGCCUUCCUUCAUGGUGAUCUCUAAGAGGAGGUAUAUAUGGAGCAACCACCAGGGUUUAUUGCUUAGGGGGGAGUUGAGUAAAGUUUGCAAACUUCGAAAGUCUCUUUAUGGCUUGAAACAA